Molecule: ribosomal RNA, 492 nt
Filed under: uncultured bacterium
Lineage: Bacteria
Description: bacterial SSU rRNA
Rfam family: Bacterial small subunit ribosomal RNA
Source: RNAcentral
AGUGAACGCUGGCGGCAGGCCUAAUACAUGCAAGUCGAACGGCAGCACGGCAGAGCUUGCUCUGUGGGUGGCGAGUGGCGGACGGGUGAGGAAUACAUGGGAAUCUGCCCAGUCGUGGGGGAUAACGUAGGGAAACUUACGCUAAUACCGCAUGCGCCCUUCGGGGGAAAGCCGGGGACCUUCGGGCCUGGCGCGAUUGGAUGAGCCCAUGUCGGAUUAGCUAGUUGGCGGGGUAAUGGCCCACCAAGGCGACGAUCCGUAGCUGGUCUGAGAGGAUGAUCAGCCACACUGGAACUGAGACACGGUCCAGCCUCCUACGGGAGGCAGCAGUAGGGAAUAUUGGACAAUGGGCGCAAGCCUGAUCCAGCCAUGCCGCGUGAGUGAAGAAGGCCCUCGGGUUGUAAAGCUCUUUUGUCCGGAAAGAAAAGCGCCGGGUUAAUACCCUGGUGUCCUGACGGUACCGGAAGAAUAAGCACGGCAACUCGUGCCAGC